Molecule: ribosomal RNA, 572 nt
Filed under: uncultured bacterium
Lineage: Bacteria
Description: partial 16S ribosomal RNA
Rfam family: Bacterial small subunit ribosomal RNA
Source: RNAcentral
UGGGGAAUAUUGCACAAUGGGCGAAAGCCUGAUGCAGCGACGCCGCGUGAGGGAUGACGGCCUUCGGGUUGUAAACCUCUUUCAGCAGGGAAGAAGCGAAAGUGACGGUACCUGCAGAAGAAGCGCCGGCUAACUACGUGCCAGCAGCCGCGGUAAUACGUAGGGCGCAAGCGUUGUCCGGAAUUAUUGGGCGUAAAGAGCUCGUAGGCGGUUAGUCGCGUCUGCUGUGAAAACUCGAGGCUCAACCUCGGGCUUGCAGUGGGUACGGGCUGACUAGAGUGCGGUAGGGGUGACUGGAAUUCCUGGUGUAGCGGUGGAAUGCGCAGAUAUCAGGAGGAACACCGAUGGCGAAGGCAGGUCACUGGGCCGCAACUAACGCUGAGGAGCGAAAGCAUGGGGAGCGAACAGGAUUAGAUACCCUGGUAGUCCAUGCCGUAAAACGUUGGGCACUAGGUGUGGGGUCCAUUCCACGGAUUCCGUGCCGCAGCAAACGCAUUAAGUGCCCCGCCUGGGGGAGUACGGCCGCAAGGCUAAAACUCAAAGGAAUUGACGGGGGUCAUAGCUGUUUUCCU